This 877-nucleotide ribosomal RNA is filed under the name uncultured Capnocytophaga sp. RNAcentral's name for it is "bacterial SSU rRNA". It matches the Rfam family "Bacterial small subunit ribosomal RNA", at positions 62 to 946 of the family's 1533-position model. Lineage: Bacteria; Pseudomonadati; Bacteroidota; Flavobacteriia; Flavobacteriales; Flavobacteriaceae. The record is from RNAcentral.
UCGAGGGAGAAGCCCUUCGGGGCAGAAACCGGCGCACGGGUGCGUAACGCGUAUGCAACCUACCUUUUACAGGGGGAUAGCCCGAAGAAAUUUGGAUUAAUACCCCAUAACAUUACGAGACGGCAUCAUUUUGUAAUUAAAACUACGGUGGUAGAAGAUGGGCAUGCGUUCUAUUAGCUAGUUGGAGUGGUAACGGCACCCCAAGGCUACGAUAGAUAGGGGUCCUGAGAGGGAGAUCCCCCACACUGGUACUGAGACAGGGACCAGACUCCUACGGGAGGCAGCAGUGAGGAAUAUUGGUCAAUGGUCGGAAGACUGAACCAGCCAUGCCGCGUGCAGGAAGAAUGCCUUAUGGGUUGUAAACUGCUUUUGUAAGGGAAGAAUAAGGGGUACGUGUACCUUGAUGACGGUACCUUACGAAUAAGCAUCGGCUAACUCCGUGCCAGCAGCCGCGGUAAUACGGAGGAUGCGAGCGUUAUCCGGAAUCAUUGGGUUUAAAGGGUCUGUAGGCGGGCUAUUAAGUCAGGGGUGAAAGGUUUCAGCUUAACUGAGAAAUUGCCUUUGAUACUGGUAGUCUUGAAUAUCUGUGAAGUUCUUGGAAUGUGUAGUGUAGCGGUGAAAUGCUUGGAUAUUACACAGAACACCGAUUGCGAAGGCAGGGGACUAACAGACGAUUGACGCUGAGAGACGAAAGCGUGGGGAGCGAACAGGAUUAGAUACCCUGGUAGUCCACGCUGUAAACGAUGGAUACUAGCUGUUUGGUGAUAAGCUGAGUGGCUAAGCGAAAGUGAUAAGUAUCCCACCUGGGGAGUACGCACGCAAGUGUGAAACUCAAAGGAAUUGACGGGGGCCCGCACAAGCGGUGGAGCAUGUGGUU